UGAAUACGAGACGCUAAGGCGUCGAAGUAGUGUAUGUCAUACUUCCAAGAAAAGCUUGCACUGUCAUAGAUAAAAAACGCCUGUACCAUAACCGACACAGGUGGGUAGGUAGAGUAUACUAAGGGGCGCGAGAUAACUCUCUCUAAGGAACUCGGCAAAAUAACUCCGUAACUUCGGGAGAAGGAGUGCCUUAUUCUUAAGGUUGCAAUAACAAGAUCCAAGCAACUGUUUAUCAAAAACACAGGUCUCCGCUAAGUCGUAAGACGAUGUAUGGGGGCUGACGCCUGCCCAGUGCCAGAAGGUUAAAGAGGCUGGUUAGCAUUUGCGAAGCUAGUAACUGAAGCCCUGGUGAACGGCGGCCGUAACAAUAACGGUCCUAAGGUAGCGAAAUUCCUUGUCGGGUAAGUUCCGACCCGCACGAAAGGCGUAAUGAUUUGGAUACUGUCUCGGAGAGGGGCUCGGUGAAAUAGACUUGUCUGUGAAGAUGCGGACUACCUGCACCAGGACAGAAAGACCCUAUGAAGCUUUACUGUAACUUGAAAUUGAAAUUGGACUUUAUUCGCGCAGUAUAGGUGGGAGGCGUUGAUCAUAAUCUUGCGGGAUUAUUGGAGCCAUUAGUGAGAUACCACUCUUGUAAUGUUAGAUUUCUAACUUUGAAUCAUUAUCUGGUCAAAGAACAGUUUCAGGCGGGCAGUUUGACUGGGGCGGUCGCCUCCUAAACGGUAACGGAGGCGUACAAAGGUUUCCUCUGAACGGUUAGAAAUCGUAUCUAGAGUGUAAAGGUAUAAGGAAGCUUGUCUGUGAGACCUACAAGUCGAGCAGGGACGAAAGUCGGUCUUAGUGAUCUGACGGUACUGAGUGGAAAGGCCGUCACUCAACGGAUAAAAGUUACUCUAGGAUAACAGGCUGAUCUCCCCCAAGAGUUCACAUCGACGGGGAGGUUUGGCACCUCGAUGUCGGCUCAUCGCAUCCUGGGGCGGUAGUACGUCCCAAGGGUUGGGCUGUUCGCCCACGAAAGCGGUACGCGAGCUGGGUUCAGAACGUCGUGAGACAGUUCGGUCCAUAUCCGGUGUAGGCGUUAGAAUAUUGAGAGGAGCCUUCUUUAGUACGAGAGGACCGAGAAGGACAUACCUCUGGUGUACCAGUUAUCGUGCCAACGGUAAACGCUGGGUAGCUAUGUAUGGAGUGGAUAACCGCUGAAAGCAUCUAAGUGGGAAGCCCACCUCAAGAUAAGUAUUCC
RNAcentral lists this ribosomal RNA (1240 nucleotides) under metagenome. Its description in RNAcentral is "bacterial LSU rRNA". It matches the Rfam family "Bacterial large subunit ribosomal RNA", at positions 1564 to 2814 of the family's 2925-position model. The record is from RNAcentral.